GUCAGAAAUUAUGCCUUCUCUGUAUGGGGAGAAAUUACUAGAGUGAAAUUUUUGGCAAUUUUCCCUGCCAUUUAUUUUGUGGUUAAAGUGCAAUGUUAGAGCAAAGACAACGAGGAACGACGACGGAGCAACAACGAAGAAUGCAGAAGCAGCGGAAGCAGCAGCACUACGUAGCGAACGCAACACAACAAUAAUUAAAAGUGCAACAAUUACAACAACCAAAACAACAACAACAACCAACAUGUGAAUUGCGUUUUUUUUUUACCAAAACCAAAACAAAACCACGAAGAACAAGUGUAGCCAGAGCCUGAGAGAGAGGGAGAGUGAAAGAAGGAGAAAGCGAAAAGCGAAGAGCGCCAUAAGAAAGAGACAAAGAAAGAAAAAGCCGCCAAAAUAUUAUAGCAACAGCAACAAAAACAUAAACAACAACAACUAGCAACAAACCAACAGCAAAUAACAACAACAAAUGUAAUAUAAAUAACGGUUCAAGCAAAACCAAAAAACAAUUUCGCGCGCGCUCUUUUUCCUUCUACCCUUUGUUUCUCUCAAAGACGGACGAGGACGAACACUGACAACACACACAAACAAAAAAUACAAAAAAAAAAACAACAAAACCGCUGCUUCUACGAAUUAUAUUUUGUUCGUCAAACAUCUUUUUUGAAAACUUCAAUCGUCAUUUAAUCAUCGUCAUAAUAACCACUCCAAUAAAACUCCACUCCCCCCGCAAUAUUCCGGAAACAGCAAACAAACAAAACAACAACAAUUUGAAAAGUGGCUAGAACAAAAACA
RNAcentral lists this small RNA (789 nucleotides) under Drosophila pseudoobscura pseudoobscura. Its description in RNAcentral is "GA32104". Lineage: Eukaryota; Metazoa; Arthropoda; Insecta; Diptera; Drosophilidae. The record is from RNAcentral.